Molecule: long non-coding RNA, 428 nt
Filed under: Prunus persica (peach)
Lineage: Eukaryota; Viridiplantae; Streptophyta; Magnoliopsida; Rosales; Rosaceae
Description: long non-coding RNA (PPER_LNC003384)
Source: RNAcentral
GAGCAUCAUGCUACGGUGGGUGGAGUCAUUUGGUGGCUUUUGAGUGAAAUCCAAUCUCUACAACUAUGCAAUACACCAACCACACCAACCACUCGAUUUCAUAACGAACUUCGUACGAACCCGAAUUGUCCAAUUUCAUGGACCAAUCGAUAUCGGAUUGAGUCCAAAACUUGGGGAUCGUCAUAAUACGGUGGGAGGAGACAUUUGGCGGCUUUUGAGUGAAAUCCAAUCUCUACAACUAUGCAAUACACCAACCACUCCAUUUCAGAACGAACUCCGAACGAACCUGAAUUGUCCAAUUUCAUGGACCAAUCAACUCGAAUUGAGUCCAAAACUUGGGGAACAUCAUAAUAUGAUGGGAGGAGUCAUUUGGUGUCUUUUGACGGAAAUCCAAUGGCAAAAACUAUGCAAUACACCAACCACUCCAU